UACGUAGGAUGCGAGCGUUGUCCGGAAUUAUUGGGCGUAAAGAGAACGUAGGCGGUUUUUUAAGUUUGGGCUUAAAGACCGGGGCUUAACCCCGGGAAUGGCUCGAAAACUGGGAGACUGGAGGACGUCAGAGGAAAGUGGAAUUCCCAGUGUAGCGGUGAAAUGCGUAGAUAUUGGGAGGAACACCAGUGGCGAAAGCGACUUUCUGGGGCGUUCCUGACGCUGAGGUUCGAAAGCUCGGGGAGCAAACAGG
Molecule: ribosomal RNA, 253 nt
Filed under: uncultured bacterium
Lineage: Bacteria
Description: partial 16S ribosomal RNA
Rfam family: Bacterial small subunit ribosomal RNA
Source: RNAcentral